AGCCCUAAGUGGGUGGUAAACUCCAUCUAAGGCUAAAUAUGACCACGAGACCGAUAGCGAACAAGUACCGUGAGGGAAAGUUGAAAAGCACUUUGAAGAGAGAGUUCAAGAGUACGUGAAACCGUUUAGGGGUAAACCUGAGAAACCCGAAAGGUCGAAGGGAGAAAUUCAUUCGCGUUUCGUCGCAGGCGUGGGACGGUCGAGUGACGGAAAGCGUUCGCGCGUUUCCGCGCCCUCCGUUCUUCGAACCGGCGACGAACGCGUGCACUUUUCUCCUGGUAGGACGUCGCGAUCCGUUGGGCGUCGGUCUACGGCUCGCGGUGGAGCCCGUUCCGUAUUCGUACGGACGGACCCGCGUGACCCGGCCGACUCGCUCGACGGUAUACGAAAGGUUUAAGGCCGCUCUCGGAGCGUUCGACUCGUGGCAAGCGCGCCGGAUGUGUCGGUGAUCGGACCAGGUGCCGAUUCUGACCUCCGGUGACUGUUGGCCGCGAAGUUCUCGAACAGACCUUAGGACCGAUCUGCGACGCUAUAGCUUUGGGUACUUUCA
RNAcentral lists this ribosomal RNA (550 nucleotides) under Plinthus confusus. Its description in RNAcentral is "eukaryotic LSU rRNA". It matches the Rfam family "Eukaryotic large subunit ribosomal RNA", at positions 284 to 644 of the family's 3401-position model. The record is from RNAcentral. Lineage: Eukaryota; Metazoa; Arthropoda; Insecta; Coleoptera; Curculionidae.